CCUACGGGUGGCAGCAGUGGGGAAUAUUGCACAAUGGGGGAAACCCUGAUGCAGCGACGCCGCGUGAGUGAAGAAGUAUUUCGGUACGUAAAGCUCUAUCAGCAGGGAAGAAAAUGACGGUACCUGACUAAGAAGCCCCGGCUAACUACGUGCCAGCAGCCGCGGUAAUACGUAGGGGGCAAGCGUUAUCCGGAUUUACUGGGUGUAAAGGGAGCGUAGACGGCAGCGCAAGUCUGGAGUGAAAUCCCAUGGCUGAACCAUGGAACUGCUUUGGAAACUGUGCAGCUAGAGUGCAGGAGAGGUAAGCGGAAUUCCUAGUGUAGCGGUGAAAUGCGUAGAUAUUAGGAGGAACACCAGUGGCGAAGGCGGCUUACUGGACUGUAACUGACGUUGAGGCUCGAAAGCGUGGGGAGCAAACAGGAUUAGAUACCCCAGUAGUC
RNAcentral lists this ribosomal RNA (440 nucleotides) under uncultured bacterium. RNAcentral describes it as "partial 16S ribosomal RNA". It matches the Rfam family "Bacterial small subunit ribosomal RNA", at positions 338 to 795 of the family's 1533-position model. The record is from RNAcentral.